This 617-nucleotide ribosomal RNA is filed under the name uncultured archaeon. RNAcentral's name for it is "bacterial SSU rRNA". It matches the Rfam family "Archaeal small subunit ribosomal RNA", at positions 298 to 920 of the family's 1478-position model. The record is from RNAcentral.
GGGUACUGAGACACGGACNCAGGCCCUAUGGGGCGCAGCAGGCGAGAAACCUUUGCAAUGUGCGAAAGCACGACAAGGUUAAUCCGAGUGUCUCCUGCUAAAGGAGUCUUUUGUCAGUUGUAGAAUCACUGGUGAAUAAGGGGUGGGCAAGUUCUGGUGUCAGCCGCCGCGGUAAAACCAGCACCUCGAGUGGUCAGGAGGUUUAUUGGGCCUAAAGCAUCCGUAGCCGGUUGCAUAAGUUUUCGGUUAAAUCUAUGCGCUUAACGUAUAGGCCGCCGAAAAUACUGUGCAGCUAGGGAGUGGGAGAGGUACACGGUACUCGAUAGGAAGGGGUAAAAUCCUUUGAUCUAUUGAAGACCACCUGUGGCGAAGGCGGUGUACCAGAACACGUUCGACGGUGAGGGAUGAAAGCUGGGGGAGCAAACCGGAUUAGAUACCCGGGUAGUCCCAGCUGUAAACGAUGCAGACUCGGUGAUGCAUUGGCUUGUGGCCAAUGCAGUGCCGCAGGGAAGCCGUUAAGUCUGCCGCCUGGGAAGUACGUACGCAAGUAUGAACUUAAGGAAUUGGCGGGGGAGCACCACAAGGGGUGAAGCUGCGGUUCAAUUGGAGUCACGCCG